This 253-nucleotide ribosomal RNA is filed under the name uncultured bacterium. Its description in RNAcentral is "partial 16S ribosomal RNA". It matches the Rfam family "Bacterial small subunit ribosomal RNA", at positions 524 to 776 of the family's 1533-position model. The record is from RNAcentral.
UACGUAGGGGGCAAGCGUUGUCCGGAAUCAUUGGGCGUAAAGAGCGUGUAGGCGGUCCGGUAAGUCGGUUGUGAAAGCCCAGGGCUCAACCCUGGGAUGCCGACCGAUACUGUCGGACUAGAGUUCGGAAGAGGCGAGUGGAAUUCCCGGUGUAGCGGUGAAAUGCGCAGAUAUCAGGAGGAACACCAACGGCGAAGGCAGCUCGCUGGGACGGUACUGACACUGAGGCGCGAAAGCGUGGGGAGCGAACAGG